GUAGGCGUAGCCGACGCGCAGCAGGCAGACAUUCCUGCACCGCGCACGCGGCGCUACGACCGACGGGGCGACGGAUGGGGGUGGCUCGGCGGGGUUCUGGACGUCCCCGUGAUGGAGCGCGGCCCGCGGACCAGGGAAAUCCGGUCCGCAGGAGGGCGAGGCUCCGGACGAAGCGACUGAGCGAAGCGAGUGAGCCCGAGGUCCCUAGAAAAACCCCUAGGCAGGCGCGUGCGCGCCCGUACCGCAAACCGACACAGGUGGGUGGGUAGAACAUACCGAGGCGAUCGGGUCAACCAUGGUCAAGGAACUCGGCACAAUGGCCCCGUAACUUCGGGAGAAGGGGUGCCCGCGCGUACGUGAACCGGCUUGCCCGGGGAGCGGAGGCGGGCCGCAGUGGAGAGGCCCAAGCGACUGUUUACCAAAAACACAGGACUCUGCAGAAGCCGCAAGGCGACGUAUAGGGUCUGACGCCUGCCCGGUGCCGGAAGGUCACGCGGAGGAGUUAGCCGUUAAGGCGAAGCCCCGAAGCCAAGCCCCGGUAAACGGCGGCCGUAACUAUAACGGUCCUAAGGUAGCGAAAUUCCUUGUCGGGUAAGUUCCGACCUGCACGAAAGGCGCAACGACUUGGGCGCUGUCUCGACCAUGGACCCGGUGAAAUUGCACUGGUCGUGAAGAUGCGACUUACCCGCGGAAGGACGGAAAGACCCCGUGAACCUUCACUGCAGCUUGGCAUUGGCCGCUGGUCCCGCGUGUAGAGGAUAGGCAGGAGGCUAAGAUCCGGAGGCGCCAGCCCCCGGGGAGCCGCCCUUGGAAUACUGCCCUCGCGCGACCGGCGUCCUAACCCGAGGCCGUCAACCGGCUCGGGGACCGUGCCAGGCGGGCAGUUUGACUGGGGCGGUCGCCUCCUAAAGGGUAACGGAGGCGCGCGAAGGUCCGCUCGGGACGGUCGGCAACCGUCCUUUUGAAUGCAAGAGUACAAGCGGGCUUGACUGCGAGGCCCACAAGCCGAGCAGGUGCGAAAGCAGGCUCUAGUGAUCCGGCGGCCCCGAGUGGGUGGGCCGUCGCUCAACGGAUAAAAGGUACUCCGGGGAUAACAGGCUGAUCUUGCCCAAGAGUCCACAUCGACGGCA
Molecule: ribosomal RNA, 1130 nt
Filed under: human gut metagenome
Description: bacterial LSU rRNA
Rfam family: Bacterial large subunit ribosomal RNA
Source: RNAcentral